Molecule: small nuclear RNA, 107 nt
Organism: Vombatus ursinus (common wombat)
Lineage: Eukaryota; Metazoa; Chordata; Mammalia; Diprotodontia; Vombatidae
Source: Ensembl
GUGCUUGUUUCAACAGCAUUUAUACUAAAAUUGUAACGAUACAGAGAAGAUUAACAUGGCUCUUGCGCAAAGAUGACAUGCAAAUUCGUGAAGCAUUCCAUUAUUUU